AGUUUAUCCAUAACAAGUGCGCUGUCUGCUGUAAAUGUUAGUUGAAGCCUUACCGAGUGGAUAAUGUUUUACAGUCAUCUCUAUCAGCACUUUUUGGUCUCCAGUGAUGCUUAUGGAUGCAUUUCCUCUCGUCUCCUGGAGCAAUAUUUUACUCUUCGGCCAUUUGCUCUGUGACAGUUUCCUUCUGGUUUUUGGAAGAGAUUUUCAGCGAAUUGACUUGGGAGUUAAUACUGACCUGUUUCCUCAGCUUCAACAGCUGCUUGUACCCUGGCUCAUCCUGAUUUGGAAACCAACACUGUAAUGACUUUUCUGUCAACCUUUUGCAGUCAGUAUUCUUGGCCACACGUCAUGCUUUCCUGGAAUAAGCUGCCACGUGAUGUUCUGCAAGCAAGCUGAAACGUGCAUCUAGCCCAGUGGUUGGUUUGGGUCCUAAUGGGGGGUUCUUGUGACCCAGCCAUAGGGACAAGAUGUGUGGCACAGCUCUUCCUUCCUCCCAGCAGAGGAGAGUCAUGGAGAAGACCAAGCAAGUGCCUCCUUGGGACAGCGCUAGCUAUGAACCCGUGUCCUCUUAACUUCAGAGCGUUCCUAGGGGACCACUUCACCUUUUACAGAAUGAUUUAGUGGGAUGUGCGGGGUACAGAACACGAUUCCUGUCAUGGGGCUUAGCCUCAGACUCCCUCAGGAAGGGAAGGACGUGCAUCCUGCCUGUCCUGUGUUCCUCUCCAUGGACUCUUUCCAAGGUGUUGGUCUCCAGAAUGCUCCUGGCUCUGCUCUUCUUGGAAGCAAUGGUGAGACAUCUGUCAGUGUGAGCCCAUAGAGGGAAGCUGAGGUAGGUCACUUUGUAGUCAAUUCAGCUAACUUUUUCUCAAGUCUGAAUUAUCUCAAGGAAAAAUAUAGUUUUGGGUUUUCUGGAUGUGGUCCCAGCCCUAUUUCUGCAAAUGUGGCAUCUCUCAGUUAGGAGAGGGCAGUGCGAGAGUGGGGUGAGGCAGCAGGUCCCUUGCAAGCUGGUAUGCCACCAGAUCAUGCAGAUGGGUCAGGUUUUGUGCCGUGUUCAGGUUAAUGCUUUGCAAACACUAGGUCCAGACAAGAAGCAGUAGCUCCAAUAAUGUUUAAACGAGCUUAAAAUCUGGAGAUGAGAUCUGUAGGCCUUGUGCAAGGAGCAGGACAGUGGAGCACCCAGAAGUGGAUUUAAGACAUGUAGCUGCUUUGUUCUGGGCUUUGUUGAAACAGACUGCCCCGGGAGGUAGUGGAGUCACUGUCCCUGGAGGAGUUCAAGAACAGUGGAGAUGCGACGCUGAGGGACGUGAGCAGUGGGCAUGGUGGGAUGGGCUGGGGUUGGAUUUGGGGAUCUUAGAGGUCUUUUCCAACUUUAAUGAUUCUGUGAUUCUAUGAUUAGAAGAAGGUGGAGCAGUCACAGGGCUCCCAUGGUUCAGAAUUUGUCCAAGAUCUCUCAGUGUCCCCAUGCUGAAGGGCAGUGCUUGUGCUGGGAUGGUUGGAGCUAACCUGAGAUCCUCCCCAGGUGCUGUGGUGUGGUGCAGGCUGCAUUGGCAGAGGAGGUGCAAUGGGCAAGCAACAAAGUGCAGGAUGGGCCCUGAAAUGCCCUGGGACAUUGGUUUGCCAAACUUCUGUGUCAGUGGUACUGUCAACAAUGUCCUGCCAAGAAGCAUCAGCAGGCAUGCAGCUGAGAUUUCCCUUCCCCCCCCCCUCCUUUUCUUUCAUUCUAUUACUCCUGUUAAAUUCUCUUCACUGCACUCACUCUAAUGGUGCCUCAUUUGGUUUAUGUCCUUCAAACUCUUCCCUUUAAACACGUAGUCAUCACUUAGCUAAACUACUGUAUACAAAUAUAGCUCUUUUGAUCUUCCUACGUAAAUCAAUACCUCCUGCCCUUUAAUCUUCCUAGUGGCUUUCUCUGAACUCCCUGCAAUUUACUAUCCAUCUUUGAAAGUGAGUUGUCUUUUGGGCUUGAUUCUCUACAAUUUCAAACCUCCUGAAGUCCCAAUAGCUGCCCACAGCAGGUGCACACGGUGGUUCUCCACCACUCUGUUCAUGCUGAAGUAAUGCAAACACUUGCAUACAAGGCAUUUCAUGUCCCCUUAGGCUGGUGUGGCUCCCCAUGCCAGAAGUGAGUGGUCAUGCAGCACAAGCCCAUAUUUUCAAAGUAGUUCUCACAGGAUGCUAAAAGCCAUGGCGCAAGCCAUUGGGUGCCAUUUGGGGUUGAAGGAGAGUUGUAAUGGUUGAGUUAUGGAGAGGACUUUCUGCAGUUAUUGGUGGCUGUAGAGAUGAAUCUCAUCUUCUCCAUAGCAGUAGAGCCUGUAGAUGCAAGCAAGCAAGCCCAAGAUAAAGAUUUGUCCCCUGAGAGUGGGCAAUGUAUGUGUCCCUUCCUUCACAGGACAGCUCACCUUACCUGGCUGCAGGUGGGACCUUUUGAUGGGGCUAGACCAUGGGCUCAGCAGGAAACCAGAUCUGGAAGCCCAUCCAGGGUGCAUGUCAUCUCUGUGCAGGGAAGGGUUGCCUUGUCAGCUGCUUUGCAGUGCCAGGAGCUCUGAGAAAUAACCUUGUGCCUUGCUUUGAUGCAAGUGUCAGACACAAGUCCAGCACACUCUCUAACCCAUGUGUCCAGUCUGCUGGUUGUAUUAUGUUUAGUAAAUAAGGUUGUCACUGGAGUGGUCUCGAGGGCAAGAAUUAAGGAAUCUCUUAGGGAUUGAAGAGACAAUUGUACAGUUCUCCCCGUCCUUGCCUUGACAGUUACCUCCAGUUUUCCCCUGGGACCAUUCCACUCUUGAACUGGGAAUGCUGUGAUUCAUAGAAUCACAGAAUCACCAAGGUUGGAAAAGACCUCCGAAAUCAUCCAGUCCAACCACUCACCUACCCCCAGUAUUUCCCCACUAAACCAUGUCCCUCAGUACAACGUCUAGACGUUUCUUGAACACCUCCAGGGAUGGGUCUCAACCACCACCCUGGGCUGCCCAUUUAAAACCAUUGCAGUAAAUGUCUUUUAUUCCCCCUCAUCUUUCAAAGGGAGGGGUUUAUAAUAGCAAUAACCCCUUCUUUUAGCAAUAACCCCUUCUUUUAGCAUUUCAUUAUGGGUCAAAUAAAAGCAUAUCAGAGCACGAGACAGAGAAUCUCACCACUCUGCUUGCCCCCAAAGGAUAAACAUAGUAGUGCUGCUACGGGCCCUAUAGCUUAAUUAGUUGCUAUUCUCUGCAGUUCCAAAAAAGGAUGAAAAAAAUCCUUUGCAAAGCCUAGGCAGGCUGUCUGUGUCAUAUUUCCUGUGUUCUUAGAGGUGUUAAUGAAUUCAUUAAUCACUUAAUGGCAAGGAGGGUCUUUGGGGACCAGCACUGCAAUUUACUGCUCCCAGGAGGCAGACUCUGUCACUGAUCUAAAGUUUCAGCUCCGCUAAUUUGUGCCAGCAGAGCCGCUGAGCUUCUGCCUGCAGCCCGCAAGCAUUGUGGCUACUGGGAGCAUCACAGCAGCACGCAAAGCAUCAGGGUAUGCUCACUUGGGAAGGUUUUGCAACGCGCAACGUUCUGGCUCUGAAAAGUUCAGAGCCCACAUGGAGGCAAGGAGGUGUUCCCCCAGCCUUGCAGUUGUGUUGCCUUGAUUCUUUUCAUUGGGAUAAGCUUGCUGCUAAGCCAGUCCUUGCAAUCAACUGGGGAAUGCAGCAGGAGCCUUGCUGACUUACAGGAAAUGCAAGCUAUGGAAGCGUGGCUGUAUAAUCUGGUCUGGGACUGCAGGCUAUGCAAUGAAAGGAGUCUGUGAAUCUCUUCUAAUUGAAGAGCGUCAGGCUGAUGUAUUUUGACUGAAACUGUCAGUUAAAAUGUGAAUUUGAAUGUUUGCAUUUCUGCUCUGCAGAAAAUGUUGAUUAUUUCAGUCUCUCGCCCUUGUUGCAGGAGAGUCACUUGUGCCAAAGUUCCCUACAAAAUGUCUCUUUUGGCUUCUUUCUCAUCACACGGCAGUUCAAGGAGAGGGGGACGUGAGCAGAGCCCUCCUCUCCGCUAAUUCCAUUCCACCAGCCUGUCAUCACGUUGCAAUUGCCGCUUCUAAAAGGUUUUUCUGCCUUGCUUUUCUGUGGCUGAGCUCCCCUUUCUAACUUCUGUCCGUCUUUCUCCUCGGUCUGUUGCUUUCCCAGGCUGGGAGUCAAAGAGGGCAAAGUACGUCAGAUGUGAGCAGGAGGGAGGGCAGAGUCCAUGGGUCAUGGCUGUCUGUGUGUGUGCACGUGCUCGCCUUCCACCGCUGGUAGCCUCCUUGGAGUCAUUCCCACACUCAUGUUCUUUGCUCAACAGUUACUGUAGGGAGGAGAGAGCUGGAAGGCAGGACAGAAGCUACAUGUUGAAUCAAAGGAGAGAAGGCGGGAAUACAAAACCACUUCAUCGUGGAAAACACAAAGGGAGACAAUUUCAGUAAAUGCCAGAUGGUCAAAAUUAACCAGAGACGUGUAGAGCCCUACAUGUCCAACUGUUUGCUUUGGCAGAGAUUCUUCAGCUUUUCGAACAAGAGUCUCUGGGGCGCCCUUUUCUUCUCCUUGGCUUUCCUCCUCUCCUUUGCUCAUCCUUUGGACUCCUCACCCCACCCUUCUCCUCUGGCUGUUUUUCCUGCCUCUCCUCUCUCACUGCUGCCCAUGAGUCAUGUUGCACCUCAAAUGCCAGCUUGUGUUACGGCGAGGGGAGACCACUGCAAAGAAAUGUCCUCAUGCAACAACAGACUUGGAGGGCAUGCAAGGUGGUGGCUGCAGCUGUCAAGGACCACUGCCAGCACAGCCCUGUGGAAAUGCUGGAGCACUUCAACCCAGUGCUUGUUGUUGCUGUGGGUAUUAAUUUCUUCCUCCCCUCCCAAGGGCCUUGACUCAGCUUUGAUUUUUUUUUGUUUCAGCCAGGAAUCCAGAAGGAGUUCUUGCGGUUCAGUAAGCAGAGGAGCAUGCAUAAGUUGCUUACCAUGAUGGAGCAGUGGGAUGUAGUCUUAGUGGGGCAGGGGGAUGCAACCUUGUUGGGGCAGUGGGACAUGUCCUUGUUGGGGCAGUGGGACAUGGCCUUGCUGGGGCAGUGGGACAUGGCCUUGCAGGGGCAGUGGGAUGUAGUCUUGCUGGGCAGUGGGCCAUGGCUGUGUUGGUGCAGAAGGAUGCUGUCUUGUUGGGGCAGAGGGACACGGCGUUCUUGAAUCCAAGCCAACUGCAUGGCAUGUUCCUCCAAACAAUGCAAUCAAGAGGGCCCUUGUAUGGCACAGACGGAGAGCUCCAGCUAACGACGGGCUCUUUUGUGUGCGCGUGUGCUCUCUGCAUUUGAAACAUUUAUUAUUCCAAAUUGCCUUCUGCACAUUUUACAAUAAUUACGACUAGUGUUUGCCUUGUUAUCUCCACAGUUACUAACAAGAAUGCCAUCAUUAUUCCAGUCAUUAGCAAAAUGGAUGUUGUUGUCCAGAGUUGCCGGCUGUGGGCCUGCUUUCAGAAGGAGUCUCAUGCUCUCCAACCUUGCCUACUCCAUCUUUCUUCCAGGGGAAUAUUGUUCUCAGUAGGUUUGAACCUGAGCGGGCGGAGGGGAAGCAGAGAUUUCAUGAAGAAGAAUUGCUUUGAGGGAGUGCUGGUGGGUGUCAGGAUUCGCAGCAGUGAGCACUGGGAAUCUGUUAAUGGCAACAUUAGUAGGAACGAGAGUAAAGGCAGCCAUUUGCCCGUGUUCCUUGUGUAUUUGGUGUAUCUUAGGUCUGCUCCUGCUGCUAGGAUCCAGUAACUCUUCCUGUAAGAAUGUGUUGCUUGGAUGUGAAGAGAUGCUAUCGAUCUUACAAUGGAGGUUGCAGAUGAAGGAGAAAAGGUUGGAAUUAAGCCGACAGCACUCAGCUGCUGUAAGGUGAGUCCAGCAAUCUGCAAUUCCACUGCCUGCUCAAGAGAGCUCCUGGCACCUCUCCCAUUAGCAGUUGGAAGCCCUGGCAGAUAUUAUGGACCCGCCAGGUUUCCUUUCAUAAACUGAAAAUAGGCAAGCUGGGUGGGUUGUCUUUCAAUGACGGUACUGCUGUGGGCUGCCUCCCAAAAUCUAGCAACCCUGAAACGUUCAGAAAUUCUUUUAGGUUUUGCCCAUUUCAGAGGAGGGAAGAGGAAGGAGAUUUGUAAUCCAGAAGCCUUCCAGUUCAUGUUCCAACGAAAAUGGAGAACUUCAGAUUUCAAGUCACGUGUAUCCUUUUCUUGAAAUCUACCAAAAAUAUUUACAGGUACCUGGUGACCACACGAAGCAGUUUGAUUUGGAAUAAUGUGUUUCAUACAAAGUCAGACUGUGGUUUGUUCUCAUUUUGGUAAAAAGGAAAAAAAAAGUAUUUUAUUAUACUUGGGGGAACCAGAGCUGUUGGUUAUCUAACUCACUGUGAGACCCCAGAGGAAAGAUCUGAUUUGCUUAGUGUGUAAAGACAAUAUGCACAAACACGGAGGCAAAUAGGAAGAAAGGUUUGUUUGUUUUCCCCCACGUGCUGAUGUUUGGAACUGUGACAUUCUUCCAUGGUUCGUCCUGAUGAGGCUUGGUUCCGUACUGCCAGGUUAACCAAGGAAUCACACUGGUUGUCCUUAGCUUAUAUAGCAAGCAAGGGAAAAAUAUAGGCAUUUUUUUUUCCUCCUUUCUAAAUACAAAUUAUUAAUUCAAAGAGAGUGGUAUAACUGUUCCCUGAUAUCUCACUUAAAUGCUAGCUAGCAGGCCUUUCUCGGUUCUACUUCUGAAAGAAAAACAAUUUUCAAUAGAAUUGUAUUUGUUGAAUGCUGAUUAAACUAAAUAGUAGAGUUUAUGUGGAAAAUAAGGUAGAAAAUUACAUGUGUGACUUACUGAUUUAAACUUUUGUGUAUCUUAGAAAAACAUCACCAGAUUAAACCGUGGCAGUGAUUAAAUAUAAUUCAUAAUACAGAUAAGAGGAUGAUGUUGCUUGUAAUGAAAGAAGAACUUUUCGUGUUUUACCAAACUUGGGUUACAAGAGAGCAAAUAAGACACACAUACAAGGAAAGACCCAAAUCUGCGACAGCACACGUCGUAUGUCUGUAUAUUCAAUUACCCCAACAUGUAAUAUGUAAAAGAUAGUAAGAUCUCCAAGUCUUGUGUCUAGUCAAAAGAAAAGGUGAACUCUGCUUCAGCUCAGCCCCUGAGACAAAAUUAGGGCAAUCUGGGUGAUCGGAUAGCCCAGAUUCAGAAAGGUGCCUAAUUCUUGGCCGGAAUCAUAGCACUCUUCUGGUUUGGGACAUCUAUAGAAGGCAAUCAGAUCCUCAGUACUUAUGGUUCCCAUCAAGAAAACCUGUUCUACUCCAUUCCUCCUCUCUGCCUUGCAGUGUGUGUUUCCUGUAGCAGCUUACUAAGCCUUGUAGCCUGGUUUCAUCAGCAUGCUGCUGAUAUGCAGCCCUACGCUGUGAGCUGAUACGACCCUGACCUCACAGGUACUGCGACCUUGUGCCUAGACAUCAGGCAUCUUUUGGUGGCUGAAACUCAGAUUAAGAUGGUGACAAUGGUGAGAGCUGGAGAAACUGCUUUACAUUUGCAGCUAUGAAUGAGGACAAACUGGAUUAGGGGUAAUGGCAUAGGAGGGAGGAUUCUUUGGAAUGGUGGCGGUGAAUGGAGGUUUGCUGCCUUUAACCUUUCCAGUUCCGUGCAUUUACUUUGCAUGUCUGUGAUCUCCCAUUGUGGUACAGGAUUUGCAGUGAGUCUGGGUGCUGGUGGAGAGCAGGCAUGGAGCUGUGCUGAACAUUUACUAUGGAAUAAUAAGGGAGGGCUAGUGGCCUUUCUUUCAUCUUAAUAUGAGUCAGCCAUUACCGAGGGACGUGGGCAGAGCUUCAGUGUUCUCCACUGGAAUUGCUUGGCCAUUGUAAAAGAGGGCAAAAGCUGGAGCUUCGGUAGGCUUGGAGCUUCUGCAAAUUGAGCUGCAAUGCUCUAGUGAUUCAUUUUGGUCUUCAGAAAGUGCUCGCUCAUCUUUGAGGCAAUAAGCCCAACUCCAGAAUCUGAUAAAUCUAUUUACAAACCCUUAAAUCUGAUAAUCUACCUUGGCUGAUAAUCCCAGGUGCCUGAAAGGAGACAAGACUACCAUCUGUCGGCAGCGUUUGUCCAUCUGUAGGGUAACCAGUGCUACAGAGCUUCCCCUGUUGUCCUGCAAAGCUUUGCUCUGCUAUGUGUGUGUGGCCUGGGAACAUCUGAACGUAUCCUUUGAGGGGCAUUGGACUUAGUGACUUCAGCAUCCUGUACCAACCCAGUGCCUUACUACUCCCGUUAUAGCACUGGUAUAGCAUCGCAGGGAGCAGAGACCCAGCUCCUGUCACGCUGGACUUUCCAUCCACCUCUGUAAGAGCUGUUCCUAGGAAAUUAUCCUUAAUUAAACAAGAUAAAGAGAAGAGAAGCAGAAUCCCUCUAAAGAGAAGCAGAGGGAUUAAAACUAGGGCUGAGGAGCUGUUUAUGCGGAGUCUCUCCAUGGGGGAUGUUCUUCAGUUUGUCUCAGCAUUCCAAGAGUCCUUUAAGUGAGAGGCUGUGGUUUACGGAGUCAACAGAUUUAAGCAGGCUACGAAUAUUAAUUAUUAAUUGCUCUUGGAGAGUGCUAUACAUUAGAUUGGUGAAGUAGUUAACAGCUAUGCCUUCUCCUCCCCACAGGCGCGCUCUUGCUGUCAGAUUUCUCUCCCCAGCUAAGACCCUGGUGCUAGAAUUAGGCCAGAAACUAUUUUCCAGUCGAGUGGCUUUUAAUGGGCUCUCCAGGAUUCUUCUUUGCAUCCUGUGAGCGAUGAGAUGUGUGGAGAGGAGAGAUGGUGGGAUUGAUUCAUACCGUAGGAAGUAAGAGAGAUUUAACUAAGUGGGGCUCAGUGCUGCUAGAGCUGCAGGAAGCCCUGUGGCAGUUGUAUCUUGCACUCCAGAAGCACCUGUUAAUUAUCCACUGCACUGGGCAGUGCUCUGGAGGAGCCCACCUGCAGGAGCCCACAGGGAAAUGGUAUUUCUGCUGAAAGGCAAGGCUGUGAUCUUUUGGGAUCUUCUCCAUCAGGAGUCCUAGGCAGCCUGAUCUAGUGUUUGACAGCCCUGCCCAUGGAGGGUGGGUUGAAACUAGAUGGCCCUUAAGGUUCCUUCCAACCCAAACCAUUGUGUGAUUCUGUGACCUUGGAUGGUGUACUGUUGGGCUCUCGUGGGCUCACACAGCUGGGAAUUCCUUAACCUCCUCAGCUCUGGCAGCAUGUGUGAAGUGUAAUGAGCGUGAUGGUUUGGAGAUGGUUGUGUGUUUCAUAGAAUCCUUAGAGUUGGAAGGGACCUCUGAAGGCCGUCUAGUCCAUCUAGUUUCAUCUCCCUGCAGAUGUUGAGGAGGUGUCAUGGUGUGUCCCUUACUGCUUUUAAAGACAGUUCUCCCUUCCUUCCUGCAUCUCUUCUCCAGCCGGACAUUGCAGAAUGGUGGCUUGCAUGAAGCCAGAGGCCAAGCUCUAUGGUCUGGAGCCUCACAGGGAGUCCUCCAAGUGAAGGAUGAGCCCUGAGCUGCAGGAGAGAUCUACUCCCACUAAACCAACCUCCCGAGGGGACUUACUUCGUUUGACUGGCUCCGUCAUCCUCAGGAGGAAACUUUCCUCUGCAAGAUGGUGAAAUAGUGCCCAUGUGGAAACGUUCUGACUGCAUGCGCCUGGAGUCCGGCAUUGUUGCAGAGGAGGAGGGCGGCAUAGGAUGGCUCCAAAGAAAAGAGGUCUGCAUCAGAAGGAAAACCUCCUGCCAUGCCAGCUUGCCCAGACCUAACGGUGAGACGGCCUUUCCCAGCUACAUUAAGGGCUGCUUCUUGUGGACUGGAAGUAUUGCCAAAGAGUGAGUGAUCCUUAUUAAUAUGCAUCUCCAAAAACAACAGGCAGUCUUGCACAGAUCCUCUCACACGUAUCUUUGGAUUUUGAGACAGUGGAGAGCUAUUUAUUCCCUCUCACACCAAUGUCAGCCAUAGCGCAAGAUGUCUUGAGCUGAUUAAAAAUCUCUUUAAUCAAAUGCUGGCAGGGGAAGUGUUCAGAAUGUUAGAAGGAUGACUUUGACAAGCUGCCCCUGCACUGUGAGUGACUUCAUCCAGAGGUUGGCCCGGCAGACUGGCGUGUGAUACAAAGCCUCCACUCACCUUGAUUUCCAAAGCUGCCAACAAACUGCAGUGACGAUGCUGAGAAGCCAGUAGGGCACUGUAGCCUGUGCUCAGUUCUUCUCCGUUAGAUACUGACCCCCCCAAAAAAAACCUUUGCUACAGGCAAAAUCCAUCACUCGAUUCAUCAACCCCUACCUACGCUUCAAAUUCCUAUAUCCCAAAUCCAUGGGAACGAUUUUGAACAUGAAUGUAGGCUGGAAAUCAUUGCUGUGCAGAUUGUCUGGAGGCUUUUUUUUCCCCCCUGUUCUAUGGCUGAACUGGACUUCAAAAGAAUAAAUAAAAUCCAUUCUGGUAGCACCCCCUCCUCCCCCCCCCAACCCCCCAGGAGGAGUGUACUUCUAUGGAGAAAGGGCAUAAAGAAACCUCCUGAUAUUUUAUUCAACCAGAAUUAAGUGUUUUGAUUUUGGGGAAUUCAGCUAAUUUUCUUACUCCUCAAAAUAGGUCAGCUUUGAAAUAGAAGAUGUCACGCUGUAACAAAAAAAGGGGAAUAGAUUUGUUUAGUGAAUGUAAGAUUAUACAUACAUACUUCUGGAAUUUUAACAAGCUUAUGAAUGGAAAGAAAGCAUCCAGGUUGUUUCUCAGUCAGUUAGACUUGGAUUUAGGACCGGUUUUCACUCUCCAUAAACUGCAUUUCUUUUUCACUUAGAAGAUCCCCUCCCACCACAAAAGCCCCUUCCCCUUUUGCCAUUGCUGGAAAUAAAUAGCCAUAAUAUAGCUGGAAUUAAUACAGCUACACUGAGUCAACUAAGUGCUGAAUUUUUCUUUCCCAAUGCUCUCCGGGCACCCAGACGUGCUCAAUAGGAAGUGUUGGCACUUGGGGCUACGUAUAGAAAACCAGGGUGUGUGCUGCUGGGGCUGUUAGGGAGGAAAUCUUGUGCCAGCAGCCCUCUGCUGUGGGCCUUCUCCAAGCUUUGUCUCUAUUCCCUCAUUCCUCUGCAGAUGUCCUAAGCCACAUUUUGCUUUCAUUAUGACAAAAAUUGUGCAAGAUACUCAUCUUCUUUUAUUUAUUUAUAUAUAUAUAUAUAUAUAUAUAUAUAUAUAUAUGUAUAUGUAUUUUGUAGCAUUUCUGUGUUCCUACACCUUCUCUCUUUGCGGCAUUGCUUGUGGACAUGUAAGUAGUAGGUUAGUUUCUAUUCUCACUCUGGGGGGUUGGGUUCCAAACUGUUUAUUGAGUAAUAAAAAGAGAAAAUGGCGAGUCAUUGCCCAGGGAUAAUGUGCUAAUAAUUUUAUGACUGGACAAAUGGUUGCAACAGCCCACAAAUGGCUGUAGGCAGGAAACCUGGUGUCUAUUGCUGACAGAGCCACCCCCAAGGAGAUAAAACCUCACUUUUGGUGAUCAAAGUUGAUGCAACAACUGUGAUCUAUUAAAAAUUACUUUGGAGAUGGGUAAGGCAAUCAUUAUUCCUCUUGGAGGAGAAGUGGCGGACAUAGACUUUUUGGGAAGUGUUUAGAAGAGAGCUCUACAUGGGAUGAAUGCAACAGACCACCGUGGCUGCUUGCGCUCGGAGCCACGCGGCGCGCAGCUGCAGGGCUGCAGGCUGGGGAUGCUUGGAGAAACAAAGAUUAAAGGGGGGUUAGUGCUAUCAGGCAAACACGAAUCAUCCCAGAGAUAACAAAGGGUUGAAGUUUAUUUAGCCACUAACCGUAUGGCACUCAAGUGCGUUAGCCUGGCUUGACUGCUGCAGAGCAUGGAGCCGGAAUGGCUGCUGCAGGGCGUACACCAGGAUACACCCUGUCCCACUCUGGGCUGAUGUCCCCUGUCUGAUUACUCAAGGAGGAUGUCCCCCUCCUGGGGAUGGGGCAGUUGUCCCAUCGGCACCAAUUUCUUCCCGCUGUUGUGGAGUUUGGUGGGGAAGGAUGAGCAGGGCCCUUGUGAGGUCUCUCUCUGCCCGUCUCCCAGCAGGCAGGAGGAGCUGUACCUCUUCCAAAGCCGCAGCAGAUCCAGCCCUCGAAGCGGGCAAGAAGCCAUGUGAUGGGGCGUAGCUGCUCGCAGCUGCCAAGACCUCACAUUUGUAUGUUAGUGAUGCAGAUAGGAUCUCAUAAACCCGUCUCCAUACUGCUUUACUGCUGAUUUAACGAUCAGAGGAAGAACUUGACUGUUUAUUAAAACAUUAGACAGUAAAGUUUAACAAUAGACAGUAAAGGGUUUUGUUUUUCCAUCCCUCUGAUUGUUAAAGCAACAACACAUAGGCCUGGAGAGGGGCCUGCUGCUAACCUCAGGAUGAUGGGAUGGGGCCAUGAAGCUCCUCCAGAAGGCAGGAUAGAGCAGCUGGCAUUCUGGCAAAUCCCAUAUCUGAAGAAGGAAAUCUGAUGUAGGGUAUGGGUGCGUGCCCCAUCACCGGAGGCGCUGAGGGCUGGGCUGGAUGGGGCCCUGGGCAGCCUGAGGUGGUGGGGGGCAGCCAGCCCAUGGCAGGGGUAGGACUGGGUGGGCUGUAAGGUCCCUUCCAACCCAACCAUUCUGUGAUUCUAUGAGUCUGACUGCGAGAAGGGGCAAUCCAAUUGCUCUGUGGGCAAGAGUCUCGUGGUAGGGCUCCUGUUGUUCAGCAGACCCACAAACACCGGCAAAGGGAGCAGAUGGAAACAAAACUCGCAAGGCAACAGCAUUAUUCAGGACAGUGCCAACAAAAGCUGACUGCGAAGAAACGCCGAAGGAUUGCAGCGUGCAGGUGAUGAAAUGGCAGAGGAAAUUCAUUGUUGGUAACUGCAGAUAGAGAAAAAUCAGCAGUGGCUGUACCCAUACAGCAGCACCAUCUCAAUGAGCUAUUGCCUCUCUGGAAGGAGGCUGUGGAGGCAAGGCAGGCUGUUUCUGGAAACGUCAGCAGUGAUCACAAAGGCAGUGGCCAUUCUAGGAGUUACGGAGGAAGAAAUGGAGAGUAAAACAGGCUGCCAUUGUGCUGCUGGGUGCAUCCACAGUGCAUCCCCAUCCGAGGUGCUGCCCCUGCUUCUGGUGGCCGUGUCUUGGGGCCAAGGGAAGAUGGAAGAGGAGUUACAGGGACUUCAUAGCAGGACCUCGAGAACUUGAGCUGAAGUGGACAGAUCUGGAGGAGAAGAUGAGAGGAAGAAAGCCCUGGGUGGCUUGGAGGAGUUGGACAUGGAGCUGGACAAGCAUCUGCUCUGUGUCUGUGCUGAUGCUAUUUAGAAACCCCAGCCUUGGCUCUGCUUGACAUUUGGUAAUGCUGAACUGGGACAGCACCCAAAAAACCCCAUCCGUGUUGGACCGUCAGUAAGAGGUGGCACAUCUGACCAAAACCACGUCGCCAUUUGCUUCCUUGACAGCACAUCCUACCUUAUCCCCUGUCCUUGUCCUGCUGACCCCCGUUCCCAGCCUCCCUUGCUCAAUUUCAGCAGCAUCUUGGGAGGCCCCUUCAGCUGCAAGCCCCUCGCUUGGGAAAGAAAGUGGGGUUGGAGGGGGGGGAUCAGAGCCCAGCUGUGGGCUGGGGCAGCAGGCGAGUGCUUUCCAAACGCUGACUGCUGUUGGUGUAUUUCUGCUGGUGAGGAUGCAGCUGGCAGCGUUUGUGUGCAUGCGUUUAUACACACACACACACACACACACAUACUCACCUCCACACGAGUACACGACUAAAAUACAUAUAUUUCCUCACCCCGCAUCUUUCUGCAAGCUGCAAAAAUACAAAAGAAUAAAAUUAAGUCUCUUAUCGCUGCUAAGUCAUCAGAAACUAAUAUUGCAUCUACCGGGCAGUUUUCCCCCUCCCCCCCCCCCGAACCAUCUCCACUUCGCAAUCCUAAUUCAAUGAUUCUUUCUGUAGCUCUUUACAUUCUAUUAUUUAUAAGAAACAAUAUUCAGCCCUCCCCUGACAGUGUUUGCAGGGCUGCGGGAAGCAGUGCGGCAGAAAGGUGGUAGAACAAUUUUGGUUAUGUUUCCAUAGCUACCUAGCUGCUAAAUGUGGUUUAUUCCAUUUUAAAGUCAACCAACACACACCCGCACGCACACGCACAAACCACCAGAUGAAGUGUAUUCAAACUAAUCCCUGGGCCGCCUAUUACAGCCUAAUAUCCCUGCCAUUUGUAUAUUUAAAGGGAUAGUUGCUGCAGAAAUAAAUGGCAGGGCAGCGCUCUCGCUGGCUAGAGCAGGAUGAUCAACAUAUUGUUUCUUUCUUGCUCUCCUCUCCGACGUGUGUGUUCCACUCCAUCCCUGUAAUAUUAUUAUGGAGAUUUUUACCGAGGGCUGAGAGCUGAGGAAGUCGGAGGUAGGAUGGUGUCCUCUCGUGGCAGUCAGCAUCUCUGCAGCCUGAUGGUAGCCGUGCCAAGAGAGAGCCGAGCCUGGGCUCUCCUGGGCAUGCACGGCUGUCUUAGGGACAAAACUCUUGGAGCAGAGCUUCCCACCUCCCCUAGUGCACCCAAAGACGAGGAGCCUCCUGCUUCUGCUCCACGCCAGGCUGGAGGCUGCUGCUUGCUCUUGCUUUCCCUGCGUGAAAGAAGAACCCUUGGGAAAGGAGUGGUGGGUACCAGCUUUGCAGAGCGGAGGAAGUUUGUCCCAUGGAAGUGAGCAUCUCUGAGCUGCCGUGGGUUGGUGGAGAACAUCUCAGAGCUUGUAAUCAGUGCCUCAUAAAUCACCGCUGACUGCCGGGAUCGCUUUGGCCGCUCUUCCCCAUCGUCCUGUCUGCAGGAAUGGGCUGCACGUUUCCACGUGGAUCGGGUCUGAAUUGGCUGUCUGAAUCCAGAGAUUAAAGAAACAGCAGCCUCUCUCUCUCCUGUAACUGCUUCCCCUUUUUAUUUCUCAAAUCUUUUAUUUCUUUAUAACAGACUGACUAAUUAAUGUGCACCUUGCUAGGCCCGAGAAUCCAUGAGCAUCCUCAGAAGUCUGAAGAGAAUGGGCAUCCUGUCUAUAUCCAAGGCAGGUAAUCACUGUAAAGGUAAGAAAAUGGAAGAGUUCAUCCCUUGGCACCCAGAAUACUUUAUCUGCCUUCUUAUAUGCUCACAAAUGGCUAUUGUAAACCAUGUUUUCUCUUCACCAAAAAUACAAAACCAACGGAGAUGCAUGUUUCUCUGCUGAUGCUGGUGAUGCCACGGGUCCCAGGAGGCUUGCUGGGUAGUGAGGGAGCUGCCCAUAUAUUUUUGUGUGCAGGGGAGCUGCUUGCAAGGAAAGCUCACUAAUUAGGGGGAAAAUAUUUGAUCUCUAUGGGCUUUUGGUGAAAUAUCUGAGAAAGGCAGCAGAUGUUGCUGAAAUUAUUUUUCAUCUGUUUUCCCCCGUUUUCUUCCCAUAUUUUUUAUGUGGUGUAUCGAAUUAAAAUUCAAUAAACAGCUCAUGGCUGUUUAUCGGGGAGUGCAAAAAACCUGCUCUAGAUUAAAGCCAGUGCCUCAUCUAAUGCAGUGUGUGCACUCACCCCAGCAUCCCUCUGCCUUACUUCUGAAAGCCACAGAUUACCCACGGUCUUCAGCAAGGAGUUGUCAGACUACCCAAAAUGUGCUGUAGCACAGCCAGCCCAUAUUUCUCCAUUGGGUCUGAUGUCAUCCAGCACCUUUCUACUGUGCAGGUCCUUCCCUCAUCACAUCUCUGUUGUAACACCUUUUCCUCUGUAUUGAUCUGCCACAUUGCUACACCAGGGGACUCUUUGACAGCUGAAGUUUUUGGUAUGUCUGCAUGAUGUGAAGGUCCAGAAGGCCACCACUGGGGCUUCUGGUCACCACCCCAUCAGACCUGUGAGUAUGCAGGGAUCUGAAAUAAACUUUCUAAAAAUGAGUUUCUGCCCUCAUAAUUUGUGGUGGCUUUCUGCUAUUUAGACUUCUCAUCCCUUUUCAAGAUAAAAUAUCCUCAGAAAUGCCCAUAGUGGGUUUCCAGCACGCUUUCACCGUGCCUUCAGCAAUUUUGUGCAUGUUGACUCCCUGAGGUCACUACUACAGAUGCCUCACCAGUGUACUCAACAUGAGAAGACCAACGUUGCUUGAAACAUUACUCAGGGCCCCAGCAUAAUUAUACCAAUUACAGAGUCAGGCCCUGAGCUGUGCUUUCUGAUGCACACAUCUGCCACGCGGGCUUCAUUGCAUGUGCGGAUCCUGUCGCUAAUAAUGGAAGAUGCCCCAGUCUCUCCAGGGGCAACAGUCUCUGCUACAGGCAAGGUACUAAAUCACACUUGAAGUUUCUAGGCCAAAAUGUUUUACUUUUGUUUUAGAGGAAUAAAGUUCCAAACAAGUGUGAGGUGUAUUUCCAGGCCUGAUUAACCUGGCUCACCUGGUAAUGUGGAAAAAGGGGAGCAGCCUUGUGGGAGGUGGAAGCAGGACCAUCCUGUAGAGCUGGCAUAGAAAUGAUUAGGUGGAAUUAGUUUUUAAAAAAAAAAUAGGUCUUGAAGAGCACUCAAGAAAUGUGCAUGCCACCAUGCUCCAAUGUAGAUUUAACUCUUUCUAUAUCUGUUCAACCUCCCAACAGCAUCUUUGAAAGUACCAGCGAUUUCUCUGGUCAUGGGCCCUGCCAACCUUCAGUCUUACAAGUGCUGUGGGCCUUUGAGCCAGGAGAAGGCACAAAGCCAAUUUUAAUUAGUGGUAUUUUGCAAGCCUAGGUUGCUGGAUCUUGUUGAAUCAAUCUCUGUUGCCUCAGUUAAUCCAUGCCACAGUUGCAGCAGAUGGAAGCUCCUGCAGAAGGUGACACGAAGGGACUCUGGCAUUCAGGCCUAGACCCUUGAAGUGCUUGAUGGUGUACUGAGGAAGGUUCUUGGAUUCCAAGGCAAGAAGCAAAGCCACUUGGCACUUCUUUUUCUCCCAACAAGAAUAUAUCUGUCAAGAGAAACAGAUGUUCUCUAUGAAGAAUCUUCUUUAAUUACAAGUCUGUCAAAAAGAGAAAUCUUCAAGUGUCUCAAGCCUCAAAUCUGCGAAUGGCUUCAGCCCUGGGCAAGAAAUCACCCCUUUCCUGAGCAGCCCCAGUGCCCUUUCUCAGCUCUUGUCAUGUCAUCCCUGCAGCUGCACCAAUAAACUGGGCAUUUUUGGAGUUUAGUUUUCAGAUGAGCCCGCUUCAAAUC
Molecule: long non-coding RNA, 17057 nt
Filed under: Gallus gallus (chicken)
Lineage: Eukaryota; Metazoa; Chordata; Aves; Galliformes; Phasianidae
Description: lncRNA (ENSGALG00010026246.1)
Source: RNAcentral